UACGUAGGUGGCAAGCGUUGUCCGGAUUUACUGGGCGUAAAGGGAGCGUAGGCGGAUUUUUAAGUGGGAUGUGAAAUACCCGGGCUCAACCUGGGUGCUGCAUUCCAAACUGGAAAUCUAGAGUGCAGGAGAGGAGAGUGGAAUUCCUAGUGUAGCGGUGAAAUGCGUAGAGAUUAGGAAGAACACCAGUGGCGAAGGCGACUCUCUGGACUGUAACUGACGCUGAGGCUCGAAAGCGUGGGGAGCAAACAGG
RNAcentral lists this ribosomal RNA (253 nucleotides) under uncultured bacterium. RNAcentral's name for it is "partial 16S ribosomal RNA". It matches the Rfam family "Bacterial small subunit ribosomal RNA", at positions 524 to 776 of the family's 1533-position model. The record is from RNAcentral.